Molecule: ribosomal RNA, 465 nt
Filed under: uncultured bacterium
Lineage: Bacteria
Description: partial 16S ribosomal RNA
Rfam family: Bacterial small subunit ribosomal RNA
Source: RNAcentral
CCUACGGGAGGCAGCAGUGGGGAAUAUUGCGCAAUGGGCGAAAGCCUGACGCAGCGACGCCGCGUGAGGGAUGAAGGUCUUCGGAUCGUAAACCUCUGUCAGCAGGGAAGAACGGUCACUGUGCUAAUCAGCAGUGAAUUGACGGUACCUGCAAAGGAAGCACCGGCUAACUCCGUGCCAGCAGCCGCGGUAAUACGGAGGGUGCGAGCGUUAAUCGGAAUUACUGGGCGUAAAGCGCUCGUAGGCGGUAUGUCAAGUCAAGGGUGAAAUCCCCGCGCUCAACGGGGGUACUGCCUUUGAAACUGGCAAACUGGAGUGUGUGAGAGGAUAGUGGAAUUCCAGGUGUAGGAGUGAAAUGCGUAGAUAUCUGGAGGAACAUCAGUGGCGAAGGCGACUAUCUGGCACAUAACUGACGCUGAGGAGCGAAAGCGUGGGUAGCAAACAGGAUUAGAUACCCCAGUAGUC